ACAGGGAUUGCCCUAGUAACGGCGAGUGAAGCGGCAACAGCUCAAUUUGAAAUCUGGCUCUUUUAGAGUCCGAGUUGUACUUUGCAGAGGGCGCUUUGGCUUUGGCAGCGGUCCAAGUUCCUUGGAACAGGACGUCACAGAGGGUGAGAAUCCCGUACGUGGUCGCUGGCUAUUGCCGUGUAAAGCCCCUUCGACGAGUCGAGUUGUUUGGGAAUGCAGCUCUAAAUGGGAGGUACAUUUCUUCUAAAGCUAAAUAUUGGCCAGAGACCGAUAGCGCACAAGUAGAGUGAUCGAAAGAUGAAAAGCACUUUGGAAAGAGAGUCAAACAGCACGUGAAAUUGUUGAAAGGGAAGCGCUUGCAGCCAGACUUGCUUGCAGUUGCUCAUCCGGGCUUUUUUGCCCGGUGCACUCUUCUGUAGGCAGGCCAGCAUCAGUUUGGGCGGUAGGAUAAAGGUCUCUGUCACGUACCUCCUUUCGGGGAGGCCUUAUAGGGGAGGCGACAUACUACCAGCCUGGACUGAGGUCCGCGCAUCUGCUAGGAUGCUGGCGUAAUGGCUGUAAGCGGCCCGUCUUGAAACACGGACCAAGGAGUCUAACAUCUAUGCGAGUGUUUGGGUGUCAAGCCCGAGCGCGUAAUGAAAGUGAACGGAGGUGGGAACCCGCAAGGGUGCACCAUCGACCGAUCCUGAUGUCUUCGGAAGGAUUUGAGUAAGAGCAUGGCUGUUGGGACCCGAAAGAUGGUGAACUAUGCUUGAAUAGGGUGAAGCCAGAGGAAACUCUGGUGGAGGCUCGCAGCGGUUCUGACGUGCAAAUCGAUCGUCAAAUUUGGGCAUAGGGGGCGAAAGACUAAU
RNAcentral lists this ribosomal RNA (851 nucleotides) under Alternaria solani. RNAcentral's name for it is "eukaryotic LSU rRNA". It matches the Rfam family "Eukaryotic large subunit ribosomal RNA", at positions 68 to 935 of the family's 3401-position model. Lineage: Eukaryota; Fungi; Ascomycota; Dothideomycetes; Pleosporales; Pleosporaceae. The record is from RNAcentral.